RNAcentral lists this ribosomal RNA (404 nucleotides) under Actinomycetes bacterium. RNAcentral's name for it is "Actinobacteria bacterium partial 16S ribosomal RNA". It matches the Rfam family "Bacterial small subunit ribosomal RNA", at positions 355 to 776 of the family's 1533-position model. The record is from RNAcentral. RNAcentral also lists the same sequence under 1 other name. Lineage: Bacteria; Bacillati; Actinomycetota; Actinomycetes.
UGGGGAAUAUUGGACAAUGGGCGCAAGCCUGAUCCAGCCAUGCCGCGUGAGUGAUGAAGGCCCUAGGGUUGUAAAGCUCUUUCACCGGUGAAGAUAAUGACGGUAACCGGAGAAGAAGCCCCGGCUAACUUCGUGCCAGCAGCCGCGGUAAUACGAAGGGGGCUAGCGUUGUUCGGAUUUACUGGGCGUAAAGCGCACGUAGGCGGACUUUUAAGUCAGGGGUGAAAUCCCGGGGCUCAACCCCGGAACUGCCUUUGAUACUGGAAGUCUUGAGUAUGGUAGAGGUGAGUGGAAUUCCGAGUGUAGAGGUGAAAUUCGUAGAUAUUCGGAGGAACACCAGUGGCAAAGGCGGCUCACUGGACCAUUACUGACGCUGAGGUGCGAAAGCGUGGGGAGCAAACAGG